AACGCUAGCUACAGGCUUAACACGAUGCAAGUCGAGGGGCAGCAUGGAGUCAGCUUGCUGACUCCGAUGGCGACCGGCGCACGGGUGAGUAACGCGUAUCCAACCUUCCCUAUACUAGGGGAUAGCCCGGCGAAAAGUUCGGAUUAAUACCCUAUGUUCUUCAUAGAUGGCAUCUGACGUGAAGCAAAGAUUGAUCGGUAUAGGAUGGGGAUGCGUCUGAUUAGGUUGUUGGCGGGGUAACGGCCCACCAAGCCAUCGAUCAGUAGGGGUUCUGAGAGGAAGGUCCCCCACAUUGGUACUGAGACACGGACCAAACUCCUACGGGAGGCAGCAGUGAGGAAUAUUGGUCAAUGGGCGCGAGCCUGAACCAGCCAAGUAGCGUGCAGGAAGACUGCCCUAUGGGUUGUAAACUGCUUUUAUGCGGGGAUAAAGUGACGUACGUGUACGUUUUUGCAGGUACCGCAUGAAUAAGGACCGGCUAAUUCCGUGCC
This 491-nucleotide ribosomal RNA is filed under the name uncultured bacterium. Its description in RNAcentral is "bacterial SSU rRNA". It matches the Rfam family "Bacterial small subunit ribosomal RNA", at positions 32 to 509 of the family's 1533-position model. The record is from RNAcentral.